GUCCCCGUAGCGCAAUGGAUAGCGCGUUGGCCUCCGGAGCCAAAGGUUACAGGUUCGACUCCUGUCGGGGACG
Molecule: transfer RNA, 73 nt
Filed under: Phycisphaerales bacterium
Lineage: Bacteria; Pseudomonadati; Planctomycetota; Phycisphaerae; Phycisphaerales
Also listed under: 1 other name
Description: tRNA-Arg
Rfam family: tRNA
About the family: Transfer RNA (tRNA) molecules are approximately 80 nucleotides in length. Their secondary structure includes four short double-helical elements and three loops (D, anti-codon, and T loops).
Source: RNAcentral